AGUCAAGAGAGAAGCUUCCGAGGGAAAGUAGCCCUUAACUAUGGAUAAGGAACGUUUGCAUUUUAGUGAAGUGGAUGGCCCAAAGCCAUGCUUUCUCUGCCUUCAGGUUUGAAAUUCUCAACAUUUACAAAGAUAUUGGGGGCAAAAGUUAUCUCCUCCUCUGAUUAUCAAUGAGUAGUUUCUCUGAAUUCAUAGUCCACAGGAAAAUCUCAAAUGACUUUGACAAAAUCACCUGAGAAGGGUGAAUAAAGAAGGGUGACUGAAGACACGCCACAGCCCACACUCCCCCACACCAAGUCACUAGAAAUGACAGAAAAUAAUUUUAAAUAAGUGAAUUGGAAACAGUGAAGGUAAAUAAAGAAAGGCAGCAUCUAGCCAGAAAUAAUGAGCCAUUCCUGAAAGACAGAAGACAGAUCAAAUCAGAGUAAUGAAUACAAAUCACAUCCAGGAGAGGCAGUUGCAUGGAGUGGGGAUGACUCCUUAAAUCAGAUGAAGAGGAUAUUGGGAGCUUGUGCAGACCAGGGUGGUUCUGGGCCACGAUCAGAGCUGGUGGGACAUCACAGUAGGACCGUCAGGCAGGUGCUCUCAUUCACACGCACACAAACACACAUGCACACAAACACAUGCACACAAACACA
This 638-nucleotide long non-coding RNA is filed under the name Homo sapiens (human). Its description in RNAcentral is "HSALNT0307162". Lineage: Eukaryota; Metazoa; Chordata; Mammalia; Primates; Hominidae. The record is from RNAcentral.